UGCGUAGGCGGAAGAUUAAGUCAGUGGUGAAAUCCUGCAGCUCAACUGUAGAACUGUCAUUGAUACUGAUUUUCUUGAAUACAGUAGAGGUAGGCGGAAUAUGUAAUGUAGCGGUGAAAUGCUUAGAUACUACAUAGAACACCGAUUGCGAAGGCAGCUUACUAUACUGUGAUUGACGCUGAGGCACGAAAGCGUGGGGAGCGAACAGGAUUAGAUACCCUGGUAGUCC
Molecule: ribosomal RNA, 229 nt
Filed under: uncultured bacterium
Lineage: Bacteria
Description: partial 16S ribosomal RNA
Rfam family: Bacterial small subunit ribosomal RNA
Source: RNAcentral